UGCGUAGGCGGAUAUUCAAGUCGGGUGUGAAAGCCCUGGGCUUAACCUAGGAAUUGCAUUCGAUACUGGGUGUCUGGAGUAUGGUAGAGGAAAGCGGAAUUUCCGGUGUAGCGGUGAAAUGCGUAGAUAUCGGAAAGAACAUCGGUGGCGAAGGCGGCUUUCUGGACCAAUACUGACGCUGAGGUACGAAAGCGUGGGGAGCAAACAGGAUUAGAUACCCUGGUAGUCC
Molecule: ribosomal RNA, 229 nt
Filed under: uncultured bacterium
Lineage: Bacteria
Description: partial 16S ribosomal RNA
Rfam family: Bacterial small subunit ribosomal RNA
Source: RNAcentral